CAGUGUUGCUCCAGUGACCUGAGCUAGCCUUCACAGCCCAGGUGGCUUCAGGAGACCCUUGUAUGUAUUCAGGAGACGCUUUGCAUCACUGUCAAUGCCUGUGAGCAUGGAUGCUGCACAAUCCCUGCGUGUGUCAGUCCCUCACCCACUGAGGAUGCUGAAAAAGCUGCGAGUGUUGGAAUCCACGCUGAUCUGAAGGUGGCCUGCUCAGCUCCACACAAGGAUGAAGGCAGAGAUGUGUUGCUAAACAGAGACUAUUUUGCAACAGAACAGGACAAGUCUUCCAACAAAAUGGGAUGCACAUUGGAAGUCCUGUUUCAGCUGCAAGGACACCAGGCUGAGCCUCCUGUGACCCCUGUGCAACUGAGGCAACCGGGACCUUUGCAUCCAGAGAGCAACCUGGAUCCAAAACCACCCUGAAUGGGGACAGACCCAUUAGUCACCAAGUCUGACCUGAGCCAAGACUGCAAGCUUUGUCUGUGCUGGAGCAGGUAUUUUAGAAGGUCUAAGUGGGAAAGACCAUUCCUCAGGUAAACAGUUUUAAUGCUGGAAUAUUAGAUAUGGCUGUAAGUCAGGUUCUCUCAUGCUGUGGGAAAUUCCAGCAUUUUAAAGUAUUUGUCUCCAUGGAGAAUUAAUGCUGGUUUUGCAACUGAUUUUUUUUUUAACUAGUCUUACAGAUCAUCAGGAACAGCUGACAGCAAACAAUAUAUACUGCAGUAUACAGACACUGUGAUUGACAGUGGAGAUAGUGAUUCCUAGUUUGUAUUUUAAAAUCAUUACGGUCAUUUAAAUUUCAUGGCACAUGAAAUAUUUCACACUUUUGGCAGCAUGAAGAUUCUCUGCUGUGUUAUAACAAAAGGAUUUUCCAUUAAUUUAGUACUCAGUACUAUGUAGCAAAUGUACUUAACAGUUUGAAAAUUAAAAUUAAAAUAGAUUUAAACGAUUUUUCAUGCUAUAAUGUGAUAGUAGUAGAAUAAUAUAAAAUGAAAAUGCAUAAAUUAAGAUCAGAAAAUACAUUUCAGAACAAUUUUGUAAAACAAACUGUUUCAAAAUAUACUGCUCUAAGGAUUUCUGUAAGCGAAUAUAUAUUUUUCUGUCAAAAGCCCAAACACUUCCAUCCAAAGAAGUUUUUUUUCAACAAGAAGCUGUUUUAAAAAUGUCUUGUCUACUCUACUAAUUACCCUCACUGUGACAAAAUCAGGCCUUAUAUUAAUACUUAUAUUUAAUUAAAUUAAUUAUGAAUUAGUUAGCUUUACCUUCUAGUGCUAAAUCCUGUUAUGCCUUUGUUAAUAAAUUAAAGAACCUUCCAUCCUCUGAAAGUGUCUCUCCUAACUCAUAGGUUGUUUAUGAAGUUCUCAUCUGAAUAAUUUCCAGUUCUUUGGUGUUUUUUAUUGAAAAUGUAGACACCAGAAGUGGACACAGUUUGAGUCUGUUAUGAUCUUGAGAUGCCAAGACAACCCUCAUUCUGCUAGGAGUUGGAAAAGAGUGGCAAUAAACCUCUGGAGCUGCCCCAUCCAGCAGUGCCCAGAGAGAGGAAGUGAACCAGAUGUGAUGGGACUCUGACAUGCAGCACCCACUCUGGACUGGCCCAAAGGGUUACAUUCUUCUCCUCUGAUUUCCAGGCAACUGGAAGUUACUGAUAUAUUCAGCUAACAGAAAGCCUUGAUAUCCAUCCCUUAACUGCUCAGCAGCCCCAUGCAGAAAAGGUUUUGUUUAACCCCUUGUCAUAAGCAGAGCAGAGCCAGCCAACACCUCAAGCUGAAGGUGCCAGAGGAGAGGUAUCCUGAGUGGCUCUGACCUUGCUACAGGAAAGUGCAGGACAGAGGAACUGCCUGUGGUGCAGCAUGGCUGAGUCCUAGCAGCUGGGUGUUCCACGUGGCAUGAAUGGAGGUGCUCAGCCACAGAGAAAAUACAAGAAAUAUGGAUGCAUCUGUGUCAGGAGAGAAAGAGAGGUAUAAUGGGAAAAAAAAGGAAAAUGUCAGAAGUGCUAAGCAAAGUGAAAUCCGAGCUCUGUUAAAUGUCAGUGACCAAGGUCCUGCUGUCUUCAGCAGGAUGAAGAUUUUACCCAGGGGUUAAGAGGUGCAGCUCAAAACUACCAGGAUGAUUCAGAGAGGUCUGCUCAGGGCUGCAGUAACUCAGCCAGCAGCUGCCAGCUGGGAGCAUUUGGCCAUGGGCAUGACAGGUGCCAUAAUCUCCUGUCAUCAUGUACUUUGUAUCUUUGAUUAUUUAGAGAUCGAUAGACUGACAUGUAAAGAAAAAUAUAUGUUCAAUAGGACACUUGACAUCAGAAGCUUCUUAUAUGGGAAGGCUUUUCUAUAGAGAGAACAUCCCUAUCAGAUACUAUGAGCUCCAUGGAAUUCAAGAUUUUAGGGCCUGAAGGGAACAUUACAACCUUCUAGCCUGAACUUUGAGAUAAAAUAGACUACAAAACCAAAUAAUUUCUGCAUCAGGCCAAUAUCUUAUGGAUGAGUUAUAGAUCAUCUCUAACAAACUUCCAGCCUUGGUUUGAAGACUUUAUGUGAUCGACAGAAUUUAAAGCAUCUGUAGGUAGAUAGCUCUGGUCAGUCUUCGUGUCUCAGCCAUUCUGAUUAAUACAGCAAGUGUCUCUUCUUGUAAUAUUAGCAUUAUCAUGUCUUAUAUCCAUCUACAGUGCAACAUAUGGUGGAAGGAUAAUGUAAAAAUGUCCAGUGAUUGUGACUUCAGUGGAUCACCAGUGCUCCCCAAAGUUUAAGAACAUAGCUAAAAUAAAAACAUAUUAGGAAAGAC
This is a long non-coding RNA of Passer domesticus (house sparrow), 2766 nucleotides long. RefSeq lists it as uncharacterized. The record is from RefSeq and is a predicted model, not a curated record. The transcript has 4 exons. NCBI's taxonomy places the organism in Eukaryota, Metazoa, Chordata, Aves, Passeriformes, Passeridae.